UUGACCUACGGGACGCAGCAGUGAGGAAUAUUAGUCAAUGGGCGCAAGCCUGAACCAGCCAAGUCGCGUGAGGGAUGACGGUCCUAUGGAUUGUAAACCUCUUUUGUCGGGGAGCAAAGCGCGGUACGAGUACCGUGAAAGAGAGUACCCGAAGGAAAAGCAUCGGCUAACUCCGUGCCAGCAGCCGCGGUAAUACGGAGGAUGCGAGCGUUAUCCGGAUUUAUUGGGUUUAAAGGGUGCGUAGGCGGAUUAGUAAGUCAGCGGUAAAAAUGCGGUGCUCAACGCCGUAUCGCCGUUGAAACUGG
This 305-nucleotide ribosomal RNA is filed under the name uncultured bacterium. Its description in RNAcentral is "bacterial SSU rRNA". It matches the Rfam family "Bacterial small subunit ribosomal RNA", at positions 334 to 636 of the family's 1533-position model. The record is from RNAcentral.